RNAcentral lists this transfer RNA (69 nucleotides) under human gut metagenome. It matches the Rfam family "tRNA". From Rfam's summary of the family: Transfer RNA (tRNA) molecules are approximately 80 nucleotides in length. Their secondary structure includes four short double-helical elements and three loops (D, anti-codon, and T loops). Further hydrogen bonds mediate the characteristic L-shaped molecular structure. tRNAs have two regions of fundamental functional importance: the anti-codon, which is responsible for specific mRNA codon recognition, and the 3' end, to which the tRNAs corresponding amino acid is attached (by aminoacyl-tRNA synthetases). tRNAs cope with the degeneracy of the genetic code in two manners: having more than one tRNA (with a specific anti-codon) for a particular amino acid; and 'wobble' base-pairing, i.e. permitting non-standard base-pairing at the 3rd anti-codon position. The record is from RNAcentral.
GGAUGUGGCUCAGUUUGGUAGAGCGCCUGCUUUGGGAGCAGGAUGCCGCAGGUUCAAAUCCUGUCAUCC